AGCUGCCGCUGCCGCCGCCGCCGGAGGAGUCUCGGCCUGCAGAGUGGAACCCCGAACUGAGGGUGAAGAGAGACACGGUGACACUGAACCGCGGGUCCUAAGGGCACGGCCAGGCACGGAGGCGGCCAGGCAGGAGCGGCACAGACGCUAAGUACUGCAGGAAGGCCUCAGCAGGCAAGCCAAAGGCUGGCAGCUCCCAGGGACCGCAGAAGGAGCUCAGGUGCCUUUAAUCAGCCAGGUAGAGCUUGUCUGUAAUUAACCUUUGCACUGGGAAUAGAAGGAAGAAACAAAGCCCUGCUGGGAAGCAGGGUGAGAAAAGCACACACCAAAUUGCUCAUCCUGCUCCCAGCCUAAGCACUGGGGAGGGAUGCAGAGAGGAGAGGGCAGACCCAGGUUUGGACAGAUGAACAUUCCCUCACUUCAGUGCCUCCAAAGGUCUGGAAAUUGGAAAACACCAGCCCUUGGACCAAGACCUCUGAUUCCAUGCUGAGGCACCAGAGCCUUGUGGUUUUUAGGAACAAGCCAAGUAAGAAGCAGCAUUACCACAAACAGCAGCAGUGGCCUCUUUGGCAGAGCAGAAGCACAGCCCUGAGUGGAGUCCAACACACAGCUACACACACAGUCCUAGGCCAGCACAAGACGUGCCUGCUCACAGCAACCUUCUGCCCAGCGAGGGAAAAAAUUGCCCUCAAACGGCCUCAGGUUCUGAGGGCAGAACUACAGGGACAACCCUCUGCUUGUGCUGUGGUUAACAGCCCAUAACCAGCUGUGACACUCAGGACUUUACCCCUAGCAGAUGGAAAAAGCCAUUCAUCCAUCACCAAGCAGGAUGAAGAACCCACCUGCUGAGGAACAUCACUGCCAGGUCACAGAUACCUCCUCACUCCUUGGCCAGGGGAAAAGAAAGUGAGCAAGGCUUAACCUUGCUCCUCUCCAGGAGGUGUUAAGCUGUCCAAGCACUGAACCUUCACACCUCUGAGCUUCUUUGGAAGGAGAGGGAGGGUUGCAAGCCAGCACUUGGGAGAUGCAUGUGGUUGGUAUUCAGAAACGCUGCCACUUGAGAAACUACAUUUGUGCUCUGUGAAGGCCAAACAUAUGGUAGGGCUUUCUGCAUGUGCAUUAAACACUUUGCUAUUCUCCCUUGCUAGGGCUGGAAGGACUGUGAGAUCACCCACAGAACAUUUCAUGGGAAGGAGUGGAGUCAGAUGUGCCUUCAGCACCACAAAACUAACACACAGGGGUAGGGAAGGGUAUUGGUGGUAGCAAACAGGGAGAAACAGGAGAGGAGACCUGCUCAGAGAGGACUGCACUCAAGGAGCUGUAGCAGUGCCUUAAUUCACCACCACCACUUAGGCAGAG
Long non-coding RNA from Pogoniulus pusillus (Red-fronted tinkerbird), 1359 nucleotides. RefSeq lists it as uncharacterized. The transcript has 2 exons. The record is from RefSeq and is a predicted model, not a curated record. NCBI's taxonomy places the organism in Eukaryota, Metazoa, Chordata, Aves, Piciformes, Lybiidae.